UGGAGAGUUUGAUCCUGGCUCAGGACGAACGCUGGCGGCGUGCUUAACACAUGCAAGUCGAACGGAAAGGCCCCUUCGGGGGUACUCGAGUGGCGAACGGGUGAGUAACACGUGGGUGAUCUGCCCUGCACUUUGGGAUAAGCCUGGGAAACUGGGUCUAAUACCGAAUAGGACCGCAUGCUUCAUGGUGUGUGGUGGAAAGCUUUUGCGGUGUGGGAUGGGCCCGCGGCCUAUCAGCUUGUUGGUGGGGUAAUGGCCUACCAAGGCGACGACGGGUAGCCGGCCUGAGAGGGUGUCCGGCCACACUGGGACUGAGAUACGGCCCAGACUCCUACGGGAGGCAGCAGUGGGGAAUAUUGCACAAUGGGCGCAAGCCUGAUGCAGCGACGCCGCGUGGGGGAUGACGGCCUUCGGGUUGUAAACCUCUUUCAGUAUCGGCGAAGCUCCAGGAUUUUUCUUGGGGUGACGGUAGGUACAGAAGAAGCACCGGCCAACUACCGUGCCAGCAGCCGCGGUA
This 517-nucleotide ribosomal RNA is filed under the name Mycobacterium sp. N173. Its description in RNAcentral is "bacterial SSU rRNA". It matches the Rfam family "Bacterial small subunit ribosomal RNA", at positions 1 to 522 of the family's 1533-position model. Lineage: Bacteria; Bacillati; Actinomycetota; Actinomycetes; Mycobacteriales; Mycobacteriaceae. The record is from RNAcentral.